GAUGAACGCUGGCGGCGUGCUUAACACAUGCAAGUCGAACGAAGAGCGAUGGAAGCUUGCUUCUAUCAAUCUUAGUGGCGAACGGGUGAGUAACGCGUAAUCAACCUGCCCUUCAGAGGGGGACAAAAGUUGGAAACGACUGCUAAUACCGCAUACGAUCUAAUCUCGGCAUCGAGGAUAGAUGAAAGGUGGCCUCUACAGGUAAGCUAUCACUGAAGGAGGGGAGUGCGUCUGAUUAGCUAGUUGGAGGGGGAACGGCCCACCAAGGCGAUGAUCAGUAGCCGGUCUGAGAGGAUGGACGGCCACAUUUGGACUGGGACACGGCCCAGACUUCUACGGGAGGCAGCAGGGGGGAAUCUUCCGCCAUGGACGAAAGUCUGACGGAGCAACGCCGCGUGAGUGAUGACGGCCUUCGGGUUGUAAAGCUCUGUUAAUCGGGACGAAAGGCCUUCUUGCGAACAGUUAGAAGGAUUGACGGUACCGGAAGAGAAAGCCACGGCUAACUACGUG
RNAcentral lists this ribosomal RNA (510 nucleotides) under uncultured bacterium. Its description in RNAcentral is "partial 16S ribosomal RNA". It matches the Rfam family "Bacterial small subunit ribosomal RNA", at positions 28 to 507 of the family's 1533-position model. The record is from RNAcentral.